Molecule: ribosomal RNA, 215 nt
Filed under: uncultured bacterium
Lineage: Bacteria
Description: partial 16S ribosomal RNA
Rfam family: Bacterial small subunit ribosomal RNA
Source: RNAcentral
AGCUCGACACCUACGGGGCAGCAGUGAGGAAUAUUGGUCAAUGGGCGCUAGCCUGAACCAGCCAAGUAGCGUGAAGGAUGAAGGCUCUAUGGGUCGUAAACUUCUUUUAUAUAAGAAUAAAGUGCAGUAUGUAUACUGUUUUGUAUGUAUUAUAUGAAUAAGGAUCGGCUAACUCCGCGCCAGCAGCCGCGGUAAUCUGAGCGGGCUGGCAAGGC